CUUGUUUGUUGACAUCGGUCUAGCUCAAACCAUACAUAUUUGCAAAGAUGUUUUGGUUUGAACUAGACCGAGUACAACAAACAAA
Arabidopsis thaliana (thale cress) is the source of this 85-nucleotide non-coding RNA. The record is from RefSeq. NCBI's taxonomy places the organism in Eukaryota, Viridiplantae, Streptophyta, Magnoliopsida, Brassicales, Brassicaceae.